GACGAACGCUGGCGGCGUGCCUAAUACAUGCAAGUAGAACGCUGAAGGAGGAGCUUGCUUCUCUGGAUGAGUUGCGAACGGGUGAGUAACGCGUAGGUAACCUGCCUGGUAGCGGGGGAUAACUAUUGGAAACGAUAGCUAAUACCGCAUAAUAGUAGAUGUUGCAUGACAUUUGCUUAAAAGGUGCAAUUGCAUCACUACCAGAUGGACCUGCGUUGUAUUAGCUAGUUGGUGGGGUAACGGCUCACCAAGGCGACGAUACAUAGCCGACCUGAGAGGGUGAUCGGCCACACUGGGACUGAGACACGGCCCAGACUCCUACGGGAGGCAGCAGUGGGGAAUCUUCGGCAAUGGACGGAAGUCUGACCGAGCAACGCCGCGUGAGUGAAGAAGGGUUUCGGAUCGUAAAGCUCUGUUGUAAGAGAAGAACGAGUGUGAGAGUGGAAAGUUCACACUGUGACGGUAGCUUACCAGAAAGAGACGGCUAACUACGUG
This 495-nucleotide ribosomal RNA is filed under the name uncultured bacterium. Its description in RNAcentral is "partial 16S ribosomal RNA". It matches the Rfam family "Bacterial small subunit ribosomal RNA", at positions 28 to 507 of the family's 1533-position model. The record is from RNAcentral.